RNAcentral lists this ribosomal RNA (500 nucleotides) under uncultured bacterium. RNAcentral's name for it is "partial 16S ribosomal RNA". It matches the Rfam family "Bacterial small subunit ribosomal RNA", at positions 30 to 523 of the family's 1533-position model. The record is from RNAcentral.
AUUGAACGCUGGCGGCAUGCCUUACACAUGCAAGUCGAACGGCAGCACGGGAGCAAUCCUGGUGGCGAGUGGCGAACGGGUGAGUAAUGUAUCGGAACGUGCCCAGUCGUGGGGGAUAACGUAGCGAAAGCUACGCUAAUACCGCAUACGAUCUAUGGAUGAAAGCGGGGGAUCGCAAGACCUCGCGCGAUUGGAGCGGCCGAUAUCGGAUUAGGUAGUUGGUGGGGUAAAGGCUCACCAAGCCGACGAUCUGUAGCUGGUCUGAGAGGACGACCAGCCACACUGGGACUGAGACACGGCCCAGACUCCUACGGGAGGCAGCAGUGGGGAAUUUUGGACAAUGGGCGCAAGCCUGAUCCAGCAAUGCCGCGUGCAGGAUGAAGGCCUUCGGGUUGUAAACUGCUUUUGUACGGAACGAAACGGUGAGCUCUAAUACAGUUUGCUAACGACGGUACCGUAAGAAUAAGCACCGGCUAACUACGUGCCAGCCGCCGCAGUAA